ACCAUUGGUCGAGGUUUCCGUUUGGCAUGUAUUCAAGUACCAGUGCCUUGAAAUCCUCGUUAGAGCAACUGCUCACGACUUUGGUGAGAUUUCUGUGGCGGAUGUUUCGUAGUACCUCGCAUUCGACUUCGAAGCUCUUCGAAGAAGCUUCCGAUAACGAAUUGAAGACCUUGACAGCCAAAAUUUUCCCGUCUCUUAGAACGGCUUUGUACACAGAACCAAAACUCCCCACGCCGAGUAAAUUCGUCUCACUGAAUUGUUCAGUUGCUUGUAGGAGUUCGUAAUACGAAAUUCUUUCUAGAGGUACAGUGGGAACCAGCCCGUCAAUUUCAUUGACUGCCUUAUUUUUUCUUCUGUAUCUAACGAAAAUGAAGACCAAACAGAGAAGCGAUAUAAAUGCGACAACUCCAAUAAGAAUAAAUAAAGCUAAGCGCCCCCUUUUCAUCCUUGACCUGCGUUUGGAAACGUCAUGGUUGCAAAGUGGUACAUUGAACCUUGGGAUUCCGCAUAAUGCAUCAUUACCCUUAAAAGACUCGAUAGUGAAGUUUACGAAAGGACCACCGGUGGGAAUUUCUCCUCUCAGAGCAUUGAAAGAGACAUUAAAGUAGUCAAGGUGUUCAAGUGCUUCAAAAGACUUUGGGAUUGAUCCAAAUAGGUUAUUGUAAGACAAGUCUAUACUUACCAAACUGAUCAUCCUCCCCACGGAUUCGGGAAUAGAACCUUCCAGUAGAUUAUGUGCCAAAGAAAAAUUCGUCAGAGAUAUUAAAUUUCCGAUCGUGCUUGGAAUAGACUCUGACAACCGAUUCAUUGAUAGAUCGAUCAUGGUUGCUGACACUAAAUUACCUAUUUCCGGAGGUAUAAACCCGCUCAAGGAAUUUGAGGAUAAGUUCAGCUCCAGCAGAUCUUUGAGGCGCCACACGCUCGAUGGUAUGAUUAAAGACAACAUGUUGGAAUUAAGAUAGAGAUUUCUUAAGGAUGUGAUAUUCCCUAAACAUUCCGGUAUUCGACCGGAAAAUUUAUUUUGAUUUAAAGAUAAAUAAACCAAGCUGCGUAAAUCGCAAAGACCCUCUGGAAUGGAACCUAUCAGAUUGUUGGUAUGUAGAUCUAAUCCUUGAAACUUGUGCAAAUGGCUAAGAGUAGGUGGAAUGUUACCAGACAACUCGUUCAUGUUUAGAGCAAGUGUCACGAGGUUGGUUAAGUUGCCGAUUUCUGCGGGGAUGAUUCCCUUAAUUUUACAUUUCAUAGCAAAUAAACCUUGCAGCGAGGAAGACAAAUUCCCAACGGAAGGUGGAAUGAUGCCUUGGAGAGGAUUAUCACUAAUUGAGAGGAUUCUUAAUGAUCGGCAAUUAGUCAAGGAAGUUAUGAAGCUCAAUUCUGAAGAAGUUGUUUUGGCCCUUAUAUUGUUUUUGUUAAUGCCUAGAAUUUCAAGGUUUCUUAGGUUACCGAGAAAAUGAGGUACAAAACCAGCGAAGUUGUUAUCACUUAGUGCGAGAAUUCUGAGUUUCGAGAUGUUGGUGAUUGAAUCGGGUAUUGCUCCGCUGAGGUCAUUUCCUCCGAGGUAAAGUUCUUCAAGAGCGGGUAACCCGUGAUCCAAAUUAGUUGGAAGACUGCCUGACAAACUAUUAGAUGUCAAACCAAGAAUUCGAAGAUUUGAUAUGUUAAAGAGCUCCGAUGGAAUAAAACCAGUGAAGUUGUUAUGGCCUAAAUUUAAGGUAUCCAGUUGGAAAAGUUUGCCAAUUUCUCGUUCUACACCACCUGUCAAAGGUUAAAAAAAAAAUAAGCAUUGCAACUAUGGAGAAACAAAUAAUAUUGAAAGUCUAUAUACCUGUUAACUUGUUGUCCGAGAUGGACAAGUAGUUGAGAUUUGUAAGAUUCCCGAUAUCUUUUGGGAGGUUUCCGGACAGUAGGUUGUGAUGUAGGUUCAAACCUUGGAGGGAAGAAAUAUUGAAGAUAGUGAGGGGAAUUGUACCACUAAUCUGGUUUCGUUCAAUGCCAAAUCGAGCGAGAUUCCAAAGAUCGCCAAUCUCGGGUGGGAUAACACCUACGGAAAUCGCAAAGCAAUUGUUAAAAAAAAUAAAAAUACAUGGCAUUGAUUUCCAAGAUGAAAAUUUUAAACGAGAGAGUGAAGAAAUAUUAUACCAUUUAAAUUGUUAGUCCCAAGAUAUAAAAUCUGAAGAAAAUUUAACUUGCCAAGUGCUUUUGGUAUCUGCCCACUGAAGGAGUUGGAAGACAGUGAUAUUUCUCGAAGCUGCGAACAUUCUGACAGGCUCGACGGAAUUUCGCCGCUCAGCUUAUUAACAGAUAGGUAAAUUCUGCGAACACGUGGAAGAUGAGUGCACAUGUCACUUGGAAGGCUGCCACUCAAUUCGUUUCCGGUGAAGCCUAUAAUCUCCAAGGUCGAUAUGUUAAAUAUGGAUGACGGUAUAGAACCCGAGAGACGAUUAUUCUGAAUGGCCAAAACUUGCAGAUUCUGAAGCCUCCCGAGAUCUUGUGGGAUAAAUCCUUGAAGAGAGUUUGAAGUAAAAUCAAGAAGCUGUAGAUUUGUCAGAUUAGAAAGGGAACUCGGGAUGGAACCGGUAAAGCUGUUAUUCCGUAGAGAUAGAUGCUCGAGUUUAGUUAAAAGACCCAACCACGGUGGAAUCUCUCCACUGAAGCUGUUUGCUACGAGAGAAAUAGACUUCAGUCUGUGUAAGAAAGACAACUGUUGAGGCAGAACACCACCGAAAAGGUUGUAACUAAGAUCGAGUGAAACGAGGAAGGAAAGGUUUCCUAGUUGCGGUGGAAUUAUGCCAGAGAGAUUCAUGCGUGAAAUAGCGAGUGCCGUCACACGAUUGUGGCGCAAACCGCAAGUGACGCCAAUCCAGCUGCAGACAGAGCUUGAAUUGGUCCAAUUUUUGGCAAGUAUGUUAUCGGGAUCCAAAGUGAUGUGAGAUUUUAGGGCAAGAAGUGCAGAUUUAUCGGUGGUUGAAUCUUUUACGGCUGCUGCUAUUAGGCAAUAUGAUGACAUAAUUAUUUGGAGGAGUAUGACUGUACAUGCAAGAAUGUGAUAGCAAGUUUUCUCCAUGGCUGCAAAAAUAUAUUAUGGUGAUAUUUUUAAAUAUAUAUGUAUAGAGAGAGAGAGAGAGAGAGAGAGAGAGAGAGAGUUAUGAUCUAGAAUUUUGUUGAAUUUAUAACUGAUAGCACACUUGACGUCAUUUGUCUCCAAAAUCUAAUUAUAAAGAAAAUAAUACAAACUGAGAUAGUUAUGACAGAGUGAAACAUGAUAGUUUCAAAGUCUUCAUUGAUGUGUCUGCUUUUCCACAAACUUCAACAAUUGAGGCAGCAGCCAACAAAGACUUGUGCUAAUUCAUACACUCGCAAAUUUUGUCCUUUAAUGUUUUAUUUAUUAAUUUUUUUUUUUGGUGUCAAUCGCGGGUAUGAUUUUUAAUAUCGAUGUGCAACGCACGUGUACCUAUCUACUAAUUUCAAAGUCUUUGAAAAUUGCAAAAACCCACCGGAGUGUUUUUCACUUUUCACGACCUGUCAACGAGGAGAUGAAAAUGGGCUGAGUGAGUACCGUGUUUUUUUUUUUUUUUUUUUUUUUUGGAUCAAAAAAAAAAAGAGUACUGUGUUGUCUAAAAAUAAACAUAGGGGGUAAUUUCACUGAGUUAUUUGCACGGCCCCCAAACAAUGUUAAAAACAAUGGCAAAAAGACCCAUCACAUGGGACUUAAAUGCAUUUUGGUCCACAAAAAUAACAGUCUCUCAAUUAAGCCCAUCCCAUGUCUUUAGUCUAAAAUACCCUCAAUAAUAUAAUUCUUAUCUAUUCCACCCAAUAUGAUCUAACUUCCUUAAUAUUACACAUUGACUCCGGAUUUAAACAAAUAUAUCACAUUAACCCCCAAAAUUUUUUUUUUUCAGAAAAUAAUUUUUUUUCUGAAAUGUUUUUUUUCCGGCCAGAUUCCGGCGUUGACCGCCGGAGACCGCCGGUCUCCGGCGUUGACUUUUUUUUUUUUUUUUUUUUUUUUUUUUUGAAUUUUUUUUUCCUGAAUUUUUUUUCCGGCCGGUCAACCACCGUUGACCGCCGGUCUCCGGCGUUGACUUUUUUUUUUUUUUUUUUUUUUGAAUUGUUUUUUCUUAGAAAAAAAUAUUUUAAUUAAUAUUACUGUCUUGACUACUAAAUUACUGUCUCAGACAGUAAUAUUACUGUUUGGGACAGUAAUAUUACUGUUUGGGACAGUAAUAUUAUGAAUAUUAUUUUUCCGAACAGUAAUAUUAUUAAUAUUAUUGUCUAAGACAAUUAAAUUACUGUUGGAAACAGUAAUUUAACAUCCAAGACAGUAAUAUUAAUUAAAAUAAACUUUUUUUAAGGAAAAAAAUUAAAAAAAAAAAAGAAAGUCAAUUAACAGUUAAAUUACUGUCUCCGACAGUUAAAUAACUGCUGGAGACAGUAAUUUAGCAACGAAUACAGUAAUAUUAAUUAAAAAUAUUUUUUUUAAGAAUAAAAAAGUCAAUUAACAGUUAAAUUACUGUCUCCGACAGUUAAAUAACUGCUGGAGACAGUAAUUUAGCAACGAAUACAGUAAUAUUAAUUAAAAGUAUUUUUUUUAAGAAUAAAAAAGUCAAUUAACAGUUAAAUUACUGUCUCCGACAGUUAAAUAACUGUUGGAGACAAUAAUUUAACAACGAAUACAGUAAUAUUAAUUAAAAAUAUUUUUUUUAAGAAUAAAAAAGUCAAUUAACAGUUAAAUUACUGUCUCCGACAGUUAAAUAACUGCUGGAGAGAGUAAUUUAGCAACGAAUACAGUAAUAUUAAUUAAAAAUAUUUUUUUUAAGAAUAAAAAAGUCAAUUAACAGUUAAAUUAUUGUCUCCGACAGUUAAAUAACUGCUGGAGACAGUAAUUUAGCAGCCAAGACAGUAAAAUUAAUUAAAAUAUUUUUUUUAAGAAAAAAAAAAAAAAAAGUCAACGCCGGAGACCGGCGGUCAACGCCGGAAUCUGGCCGGAAAAAAAAUAUUUCAGAAAAAAAAUUAUUUUCAGAAAAAAAAAAAAGUUUUGAGGGUUAAUGUGAUAUAUUUGUUAAAAUCCGGGGUCAAUGUGUAAUAUUAAGGAAGUUAGAGCAUAAUCGGUGGUAUUGAUAAGAAUUAGGGUUAAAAUUGGGGUCAAAAUUGAAAUUAGGGUUAAAAUUGGUUAAUUGAUGAAAUUGGGCUAAAUUGGGGUGUAAAUCAUGAAAUUGAAGUUGAAUUGGGUUUCAAUGAAUUAUGGGUAAUUUUGGUAUAUAUAAAAGGAUUUUCCUUAUUUGCAAAUAAGUUUGAAUGGGGUGGAUUUAUUUGGAAGACAAAAAAGUUGGAUGUCCCUAUUUUAAUUAAGUGCACUUGUCAUGGGCUUUUUUGUGAUUACCCCUAAAAAAAUUAGCAAUUAACCCCCUAUGUUGCUUUUUAUUUAGUUCAGUGCCCCUUAGUGGAAAUAAAUAUGUUGACUAACAGAAAGUGACUAUACUAUCCUCAUUAAAAUACAACAUAAAACAAAAUAAAAAACAAAAAAUAACCAAAGAAAACCUAAAAAAGAAAAAAAAAUUAGAAAGAAAAAUUAGUAAUAAAAAUAAGUCAGCCAUCUCCAACCCAACACCACUCUUCCCAUCUCCACUGCCAUAUAUAAGUACUCUCCUCCACUCGCCAUGGUCAUCUUCGUAUCGUACACCACACUCACGAUGAAGGCAUCGAAGGCGGAGAAGCAGUAGCCACGAAAGCCUAUAAGGCUAUAAUGGUGGGCUACUAUCGGGAGACGUGGAAAAAAUGCAAAAAAUAGUUUUUUUCGUGGAUUUUUUUCUCUGAAAAUCCCUGCUCGAUGGAGCAUAUAUUUUUCUUGGAUUUUCGCGGGUUGUUGAUGGGUUUUGCAAAAGAAUAAUGAGCUUGAAUCUUAACUCCAAACCGAACCGAAUUUCGUCGGAGAAAAUGUUAGAGUGGUGGGACGAAGCAGAGGCUGAAGAUAUGGAGGGAGGUGAGGCCGGAGAGAGUGUUCGCCGGAAGAAGAUCGGCGGUCAGCUAUGUUCAGUUUUGGGAAAAUUGCAAACCAGUCCCUAGUUUAAGGAAGAAGAGGGCUUUUCUGAAACUUGAAGGGACUGAAUUGAAAAAAUUGAAAACUUUAUUUUGGGGCUUAUUUUUAAAAUUUAAAAUGUAGGGUAUUUGGAUCUUUUCACGUCAAAAAAAUCGUACCCAAUCGCACAUUUGGCUAGUGUAUCACACGACCAGCUCGUAGGUGCCGGAUGCUAAAACCUCUAAUUUCACUCUACUAUGUAUAAUAUCUCAGUGGCAGCCAACGAAUAUACACAAAAACAUAUUUAUUUAGCUAGUUUGUAUGAUUUCAUGUUUAAAUGGAUUACAAAUCCUAAAUUAUAAUUUUAAACUAUUUUUGUGCGAUUGGUGAAUUUUCUGGAGAGUAAAAAUUCUAACAGAUCAACAUGGACAAUACUAUCACUGAUUCAUAUUACAAAAAACUUGCUCAAAUUACAAAUCUACAACCAAACAAACACACCAUCAAGUGCUUAACACACAGUAUUAUUCUUCCCUUAAUUAUUACACAUAUUGUAGAUAUAUGCUUAACUAACAUUGUCGAAGCUUUACAACUUUGAUUUUCUGCAGUGAUCUAACUGUUUGCGGUGAUAGAAUCCCGGUGGGAAUAUCGAACUUUGAUUUUCUGCAGCUCUGUUAAAGCUUCUUUCAUGUUUAUUCUAUCACCAGAAGAUUCUGCGCAACACUUCAAAGCCAACUCCAGUAUUGAUGACACACAUUGCACAUUUUUCUCAAAGCCUUGUUCGUUUUCCGUAUUCAAUAAAUUGGCAUCUAUUACCUCAGUUGAUGACUCAUUAUUAAGUGAGCUUUGAACCCAACUCUUUAAGGUUAAAUCUCCACCGAACAUUUCAUCACUUGGCCUUUUUCUCGUAAAAGUUUCUAUCACCAUCACUCCAUAGCUAUAAACGUCACACCUUGUCGAAACUAGCCCUUCCAAACCAUACUCUGUAAAACAACAAUCGUAUAAUUCAAUAAAUCGAAAGUGAAAUCCAAUUAAAAGUAUAUAAAAAUAAUAUGAGUGAAAGUGAGAAUAUUAAUUAACCUGGUGCGAUGUAACCCAUUGUUGCUAGUGUGCUUGUGUGCACAGUGCUCUCACCUUCGCCCAUCAAUUUUGCUAUCCCGAAAUCACUCACAUGGGCAACCAUGUCUCCAUCUAACAACACGUUGCUUGGCUUCAAAUCGCAAUGAACAAUGAGAGUCGAAUGGCCAUGGUGAAGAUAUUCCAACGCACAUGCAACAUCAAUCAUUAUGUUCAAUCUUUGCAUGAGAUCCAAGUAGUAGUUGUGGGAAUAUAGCCAUUGGUCGAGGUUUCCAUUUGGCAUGUAUUCAAGUACCAGUGCCUUGAAAUCCUCGUUAGAGCAACUGCUAAUGACUUUGGUGAGAUUUCUGUGGCGGAUGUUUCGUAGCACCGCGCAUUCGAUUUCAAAGCUCUUAGAAGCAGCUUCCGAUAGCGAAUGGAAGACCUUGACAGCGAAAAUCUUCCCAUCUCUUAGAAUGGCUUUGUACACAGAACCAAAACUCCCCAUGCCGAGUAAAUUCGUCUCACUGAACUGUUCAGUUGCUUGUAGGAGUUCGUAAUACGAAAUUCGUUCUGGUACAGUAGGAACCAACCCGUCAUUUCCAUUGGCUGCUUUAUCUUUCCUUCUAUAUCUAAUCAAGAUGAUGAAUGCCAAAGAGACGAGCG
This 7732-nucleotide long non-coding RNA is filed under the name Erythranthe guttata (spotted monkey flower). RNAcentral's name for it is "long non-coding RNA (EGUT_LNC000374)". Lineage: Eukaryota; Viridiplantae; Streptophyta; Magnoliopsida; Lamiales; Phrymaceae. The record is from RNAcentral.